This 167-nucleotide small RNA is filed under the name Anser brachyrhynchus (Pink-footed goose). RNAcentral's name for it is "TUC338 (ENSABRG00000017709.1)". Lineage: Eukaryota; Metazoa; Chordata; Aves; Anseriformes; Anatidae. The record is from RNAcentral.
CUGACAGCCCUGGAGACUGAUGUCCCCUGGUUAUACUCAGAAAAGGCAGAGCACUGGCACUACUGUAAAUCUCUCUGCCUGUAGCCCUUUAUCACCUCUGAUCUGCAGAGACCACCUCCAGACAGAACAACACUCUGGUCUCUAUGGCCAUUCACUGGCUGGCAUUG